RNAcentral lists this long non-coding RNA (736 nucleotides) under Triticum aestivum (bread wheat). RNAcentral describes it as "long non-coding RNA (TAES_LNC014011)". The record is from RNAcentral. Lineage: Eukaryota; Viridiplantae; Streptophyta; Magnoliopsida; Poales; Poaceae.
GGGUCGAUUCCUUGAUCAGCUAUGCACAGCAGCCGCGGGUUGGCUAUGUCAAUGCCUUGAUCAACAAUGCAUGACUUCGAAGUACUCAUUUUGCAUGCUCUCGUUCUAUACUCAUUUACAGUCUUGGGUUUCUUGAAUUAACUUGAUCGUCGUUCUUGCAUGCAUCAGCUAGCAGCUAUGCUUCUGGUUAAAAAACACCCUGUACACUCCUCUACUUCGGUUUGUGAGCUUAUACUUCGUACAAAGUGUCGAAUCUAUGACACUUACAUGGACCUGCGCUAACUGAAUCAUAUUUGUUAUGUUCGAUCUCCCAGCACAAGAAGCUUGAUGAGCAAAAAGCACUAGAACUGGAACCUGGAGGCAAGCUAGCAAAGUUGGUGCAGUUUUGAAAUGGCAAUGCUUCUUGAGCAGUGAUUAGUUUAGUCAUUCAUACGUAGUCUUACCCAUGAUGUACCUAAAAUUAUCCUCUCAAGCAAUGUAAUAUGUAUGUGUGUCUCAUUUGUUGUGUCUUGUCUGGCGUCGUGCAGUUCGAAAUGUAUGUUUGCUUGAAGUGGAUGUAUUAAUUCCCAUAUACUCAAAUAUUUGUGGUGAGGUUCACAUACUCCUUAGCGACUAACAUGUUUGGAUUUCUUGCAUGAUUUGUGAUGUAGCAGAAGCUGCUAGCGAAAUCAAAUAUACUACAGAUUUCAUGCAAUAGAUUUUAUAAAACUAAGGGAGGAGGCAUCAAUGAAGUGAA